RNAcentral lists this ribosomal RNA (531 nucleotides) under Lodderomyces elongisporus. Its description in RNAcentral is "eukaryotic LSU rRNA". The stretch from base 180 to 333 matches the Rfam family "5.8S ribosomal RNA". The record is from RNAcentral. Lineage: Eukaryota; Fungi; Ascomycota; Pichiomycetes; Serinales; Debaryomycetaceae.
CGGGGUCUCGGUUAAUGAGAUUGUGCUUACUGCACUUUUCUUAUCUACACACGUGUUUUUGUUUUAUUCUUAAAACUUGCUUUGGCAGUGGCUGCUUAAUUGCUCUGCUGCCAGAGGAUAAACUCAACCUAAAUUUUUUAUUUUAAACUAGUCAACUGAUUAUAUUUAUUAAUAGUCAAAACUUUCAACAACGGAUCUCUUGGUUCUCGCAUCGAUGAAGAACGCAGCGAAAUGCGAUAAGUAAUAUGAAUUGCAGAUAUUCGUGAAUCAUCGAAUCUUUGAACGCACAUUGCGCCCUCUGGUAUUCCGGAGGGCAUGCCUGUUUGAGCGUCAUUUCUCCCUCAAACCCCCGGGUUUGGUGAUGAGCAAUACGCCAGGUUUGCUUGAAAGUUAGGAGGAGUAUUUAUAACAAUGUAUUAGGUCUAACCACUCCAUUGUGCUUAAUAAAAGCUCCAAUCUAUAUUUCAAACUUCGACCUCAAAUCAGGUAGGAUUACCCGCUGAACUUAAGCAUAUCAAUAAGCCGGAGGAA